GAUCCACUCCACUAGAGUUUACUGAGUGAGCCCACAAUAUGGUUUCCUUACUAUAGAUGAAGCCCAGUGGGAGGAUAGCAAACUCCAGGACUCUAGACUCUAAAAACUCAGCAAAGAUGAUAGCUGACUGACUAUUCUUUGAUGACAACUGCCUCUGUAGACUCCUUGGCAAGUUCCUCCCUGGAAGCCUUCCACAGAGACUGUGAGUGCUCUCCAUUGAACGGCCAGAUAGCUCUCAUGCUUUGUGAACUGUGAAAGCUGAACUUUAUUCAGAGUACCUAAGAAUGGAGUUUGUGUCUUGGGAAACUAUUUCAAAAGCUUUGUCUCUUUUAACCAUUAGAUACAUUUUGAUUAAAUCAAGCCAACUUUAUUUGCCUGAUGAAAUAACUUGGUCUCUGACAUAUAAGAUAAUGUUAAUGAAUAUUGAACUGCUAUUAAAAUAAUAUCCAGGAAGAGAAUACUCUGUAUGAUCUAGUUAAACUUAAUAUUGUUUGACAUUAGAGAAGAAUGUGUUACAGAUAAAGGAUGUCACCUGAGGUUCAUAUAAAAGGGAAGGAAAUGGGAAACUUUCAAGAAAAGAAGUCACUGACAGAACAGACUCCCUGAAAGUUUGUUGCAAUGCAGUGUGCUGAGAGCACUGAGAAGGAGUUGAGUUUGUCAUAUUAUCCAAGUGGAGUAUGUGCUUUCUACUGUCAGAAACUCUCUCCUGCAGAGCCUUAUUAUUUCCUCAAGUAUGGAUACAUAUUCUUUUCUGACAGCCAUUGUGAAAAUGGUGAUAUAGUCCAGGCAGUACUUGAAUUUCUAUACAAAGUUAUCCCAGACUAAAUUAUUCAUAUGGGACAUAUGAGCUGGAGCCCUAUUGGCUUUCUCUGCUCC
Non-coding RNA from Phasianus colchicus (ring-necked pheasant), 876 nucleotides. NCBI's taxonomy places the organism in Eukaryota, Metazoa, Chordata, Aves, Galliformes, Phasianidae. The record is from RefSeq and is a predicted model, not a curated record.